AUUGAACGCUGGCGGCAUGCUUUACACAUGCAAGUCGAACGGUAACAGGCCUUCGGGUGCUGACGAGUGGCGAACGGGUGAGUAAUGCAUCGGAACGUACCCAGAGGUGGGGGAUAACGCAGCGAAAGCUGUGCUAAUACCGCAUGUGAUCUGAGGAUGAAAGCGGGGGACCGAGCAGCAAUGUUUGGCCUCGCGCCUUUGGAGCGGCCGAUGUCGGAUUAGUUAGUUGGUGGGGUAAAGGCCUACCAAGGCGACGAUCCGUAGCUGGUCUGAGAGGACGACCAGCCACACUGGGACUGAGACACGGCCCAGACUCCUACGGGAGGCAGCAGUGGGGAAUUUUGGACAAUGGGCGCAAGCCUGAUCCAGCAAUGCCGCGUGCGGGAAGAAGGCCUUCGGGUUGUAAACCGCUUUUGGCAGGAACGAAACGGUGUCCGCUAAUACCGGGCGCUAAUGACGGUACCUGCAGAAUAAGCACCGGCUAACUACGUG
Molecule: ribosomal RNA, 492 nt
Filed under: uncultured bacterium
Lineage: Bacteria
Description: partial 16S ribosomal RNA
Rfam family: Bacterial small subunit ribosomal RNA
Source: RNAcentral